RNAcentral lists this ribosomal RNA (253 nucleotides) under uncultured bacterium. RNAcentral's name for it is "partial 16S ribosomal RNA". It matches the Rfam family "Bacterial small subunit ribosomal RNA", at positions 524 to 776 of the family's 1533-position model. The record is from RNAcentral.
UACGUAGGGUGCGAGCGUUAAUCGGAAUUACUGGGCGUAAAGUGUGCGCAGGCGGCUUCGCAAGUCGAGUGUGAAAUCCCCGAGCUUAACUUGGGAAUUGCGCUCGAAACUACGGAGCCGGAGUGUGGCAGAGGAAGGUGGAAUUCCACGUGUAGCGGUGAAAUGCGUAGAGAUGUGGAGGAACACCGAUGGCGAAGGCAGCCUUCUGGGCCAACACUGACGCUCAUGCACGAAAGCGUGGGGAGCAAACAGG